RNAcentral lists this ribosomal RNA (510 nucleotides) under uncultured bacterium. RNAcentral's name for it is "partial 16S ribosomal RNA". It matches the Rfam family "Bacterial small subunit ribosomal RNA", at positions 28 to 507 of the family's 1533-position model. The record is from RNAcentral.
GACGAACGCUGGCGGCGUGCUUAACACAUGCAAGUCGAACGAAGAGCGAUGGAAGCUUGCUUCUAUCAAUCUUAGUGGCGCACGGGUGAGUAACGCGUAAUCAACCUGCCCUUCAGAGGGGGACAACAGUUGGAAACGACUGCUAAUACCGCAUACGAUCUAAUCUCGGCAUCGAGGAUAGAUGAAAGGUGGCCUCUACAUGUAAGCUAUCACUGAAGGAGGGGAUUGCGUCUGAUUAGCUAGUUGGAGGGGUAACGGCCCACCAAGGCGAUGAUCAGUAGCCGGUCUGAGAGGAUGAACGGCCACAUUGGGACUGAGACACGGCCCAGACUCCUACGGGAGGCAGCAGUGGGGAAGCUUCCGCAAUGGACGAAAGGCUGACGGAGCAACGCCGCGUGAGCGAUGACGGCCUUCGGGUUGUAAAGCUCGGUUAAUCGGGACGAAAGGCCUCCUUGCGAAUAGUGAGAAGGAUUGACGGUACCGGAAUAGAAAGCCACGGCUAACUACGUG